AACCGAUCUAUCCUGGGGCUAUAAAGUCGUACGCUGGGUCCCCUCUCCCUUUCCAUCUCCGUAUCCCGACCGCCGUCCACAAGAGAGAAAGGAAGCAGCGUCGCCAUGGUGAAUUUGUGCCGUCGCCACUUGUUCACCAUCGAUUGGUCAGCCGAAGGAAUUCACCAGAGACCGGAGAUCCUCCUCGCGCUAAAAGGCUACGCCAGGGGGGUAUCACACUUGGCCAAUUGCUCACCGACGAGCAAGUGACUGAGGAACCCGAAGCACCGCAAGUUGAAGAUUCUGAGCAGGAGCUCGCUGAAAGCAAGUUGUGCCCUUGAUCACAUUCUUUGAACCAAUAAUGUUCUUGUUUCUAAUAAUCACUAUGACAUGCUUAGGUUAACUUGAUGGGACCUAAUAGGUUACCUAUUUUUGUUUGCCCCAUACUUUGCAUAGAAAUGAAUUAUUUGGUAGUCUUGCUAUUGCUCUACCUUGUUUUGGGUUAAUGUUACUUAUGAUUCAC
Molecule: unclassified non-coding RNA, 502 nt
Filed under: Zea mays
Lineage: Eukaryota; Viridiplantae; Streptophyta; Magnoliopsida; Poales; Poaceae
Description: misc RNA Zm00001eb223640
Source: RNAcentral